This is a long non-coding RNA of Canis lupus familiaris (dog), 3109 nucleotides long. RefSeq lists it as uncharacterized. The record is from RefSeq and is a predicted model, not a curated record. NCBI's taxonomy places the organism in Eukaryota, Metazoa, Chordata, Mammalia, Carnivora, Canidae. The transcript has 4 exons.
CUGUUUCCCAUUUACUGUUCUCCUUGGGCUGGGCUGGAUGCCUGAUACUCUCAUCUUUCCCCAGAGACAGCCAACUGCCCAGGCCUGAGGAUUCAGCCCACAUCUCCAGGGAAGGAGAGAAGGUUCUGGCCCAGAUCUGUUCCACUCACUAGCUGUGUGACCUUGGACAAGUCCCUUAACAUCCACCUCCCUCAGUUUCCAGACUUUGGAAGAGGGAUGAAAAGAUCCAGCAGGCACAGUGCUGGGCUGAGGAAAUGAGGUCCAGUGUCUAAUGCAUGGUCUUGGACUUGGUGUCUAUUCCACCACAUGUGGCUGAAUAAAAGGGCUCCCAGAGGCUGAAGACAGGUGCUCCAGACUUAAGGGAAUUCCAAGCCAAGGCUAAGAGCCACUGGAGGCAGCUGGCACAUCCUUCAAGAAGAAAACAUGCUGGAGCUUGAGGAAAAAAGGCAGCUGUGGCUGGGGAUCCAAGCUAUUAGCUCUAGGAGCAGUGGUGGCCACAGAGGUGGCCCCCAGUUUGCCAACAUGAAGAGAGAGGAGGCAGGGCUGGGAGUAGAGGUGGUGGUGUGUGGAGCCACUAGGCCUGCCUGCUAGAUGGGAAAGUGGGCCCAAAGAGACUCUUGCUUCCUGGUCCCCUGUGUCUUGCUACCAGAGUGGCAGGAGUGGUUGGUGGCUGAUGGGGUAAGCACCUCAGAACAAAGCUCCUGGCCCCAGGAGAGACAAAGCUGGCAGUGACAUACCUCUCUCUUAUUUCUAUCUACGUGAGGGGGUGCUUUCUGAAAAGGACUGGGAUGCUGAGAAGACCUGGGAUCCAGAGCUCUAGGCAAAGGUCACAGGGUACCAGACAGAGCGAGCUAUCUGAGCCCACUCUGCCUGCACUCCAACAUUAGACGGCUAUACAUGCCAAAGAGUGCCUCUGGCCUCUGAACAGUUCACCCUCCACCACCUGCUCUCCUCUGUGGGGUGGAGGCCGGAAGGGAAUCAGGUUCUGGCCUCUGAAACUGGCCAGAACCCAACAAUGAGUCAUGGGCCUCAAAGGGAGAGGGCCCAACUUUUAAAAAUCUCAGUUCAUGGCGGUGAGAAGGACAGUGCCCUGUAGGGAGCUACAGUAUGGAAAGUUGCUCCCUGGGGGGAAGACAGGCAAAUUUGUUACCCUGCCUCAUGCACACCAUGGCUUUUCCUUCUAUGAUCAUUUUUUGAGCACACAGCUCAACACAGACUGAAAGCAUGUGUGUCUGCUGGUGGCUGCCUUGUUUGAUGCUCCGACUGACAAGGGGGCUCGGGUGAGGGUAAGGAGAGGGACCGAGUGAGAACAGCCUGCUUAACACAGCUGCCAACAGGCUCCAAAGUGGCUCAAGCUCUACUGCUGGGAAGUGCUAAUUGGUUCUCAGAAGUGUGAGGCCAGCACAGAGCCAGCCAGGGCUGAGGCUGGCUGAGCUACACCUGACGUAGGUGAAGGAAGGGGCCGGUGGUGUGUUGGCACAGCCAGAGUGGCAGGGAGCCACGAGCGUAAUAGCAGCUGGCCUAGAAGCCCAAGGCCGGCGUGCUUGUCCCCAGAACAAGAGCUUGCAGCAGUGAGUCUCUCUGGUAGUCUUUUCCAUCUAGGCCACCCUGUGUACUUUCUCUGGAAGAACAGCCUGGGUCCUCUGAGUUUUACAGAAGACGGAGGUCAGGGGACUUGGUAAGAGCAGCUCAGCUUGUUGGAAACAGUGACCCAGAUCAAGGACGUACUGCUCCUGCCUGAGGAGGCUCCUCACACCACCAAGGGAAUGUUCCCCAGGCAGAUAAGAGGGUACUCCUUUGGAGAGGGGAGGGUCCUUUCUCAGCACUACCAGUCUGUACGGAGGGACCAAGUGAUAGGACCCGCAGUCCUAUUUCCCCCGUAGAAUGCCAGGACUCUUACCUUCACCAGGACCCGAAGCUGCUGUCCCGGGCUCCUGGAUUUCCCUCUCCGUCUGUGUUUCGGCAUUCUGCAGCUGAAGGGCCAGGGUCUGGGUGCCCUGAGAUGUCACAGAGGUGGUGGGGUUCCGGGGCUGCAGCCCAAUUGCAUUCAUCAGACCCAUGUCUCUGUCUGUCCUCCACGUGGCUCUGCUGGUUCUAGGAGAAAGAAAGGCAGACUGAAGCCAGGCAGGGCUCGGGACAGCAUGCCUCACAGAGUUCCGCUUGUUCCCUGCCAAUCCUCAGGGCACACAGUCCCCUGCACCAGGGCCUGCAGGCUCAGAGGACAAGCCCUGAGCUCGGCAGCUCCCCCCUCUCCACCAUGGCAGAUAACGCCCCCCGGAUCAGGUCAGGCUCUGGAACAAUGAAAGGCUGCAGAACCAUCCAAUUUUGCAGACCAGCUAACUGAGUCACUCAUUAAGCAGUGAGUGUCUUUCUGGGGAGGCAGAGAUGGCUGAUCUUAGGACUCUUAUCUACAUACAUUCAGGAAGCCAUCAGCUGACAUCGUUGGACAAAGGGUGAGCAGGAGAAGAGGGAUCUUUUCUCUCUUAACUUUUCCUUCCUUCUAACUACAUGCUGACAAGAUUCCAGUUUAAAUUCUUGGAAUUUCCACUGUAUCUCCAUUUUGGAGGAAAAGCCCUUCUGGGCUCCUUCAGGGCCUUCCCACAAGAGAGCCGUGAAGGUAGGCAGCACAAGCUGACCUACGAGUAAGGGCCAGGCCCCCCCACCCCAGGAUAGCUACAGCUGGCAGCAGAGGGAGCCCAGGACUUCCAUGGCAGGCACCAGCCCCUCAUUUCUAGCUGCUUCUGGGGACUCCUCCAGCUGUGCCCUGUAGGAAGCAGUGGUUGCCUCGGGUGUAUUAUUGACCCAGCACUUUUUCUCAAAAUUUUCAGUCCUCAUUAAUAAAUUAAGUGAUAAGAGGAUCAGUACCAGGUUCCUACUUUCUAACUGGCCCCUGGGGAGGGUCUGUCUCUGGGCUACAGCUCUGAGCAGCAUGGUCCCUCAGGCACUGUCCACAGAUUCUCCUUGGACCACGAGCACACUUCUUGGGGACAGCAUCCCCCCUCUAGUGCUCCCUCUUCUCUCCUCACCCCGCUGUGUCCAGACACCAUGGCCAGGAUGGGAAAAAGCCACAGGAUGUCCUAGUUUGUUCUCAAUCAAGACUAAGAGCAGA